AAGUCGUAACAAGGUUUCCGUAGGUGAACCUGCGGAAGGAUCAUUAUUGAAAAACUUUGUAGGUUGUAGUUGAGCUGGCCUCUUGAGGCAUGUGCUUGCUAUUGGCCUUCAAAAAUCUUCAUCCCACCUGUGCACAUUUUGUAGGAAGGAAAAGAUUCCAAGUAAAGGAACUUAUGGCCUGGUUAGCUCUGGGCCUGUUGCUUGAAGGGGUUUUUUUCAUCCUAUGUUUUUAUACACACAAUUGAAUGUUUAGAAUGUCUUUCUUUUGAAGAGUGUAACAACUCUUUUAAAAACAUAAUACAACUUUCAGCAACGGAUCUCUUGGCUCUC
Molecule: unclassified non-coding RNA, 330 nt
Filed under: Marasmius rotula
Lineage: Eukaryota; Fungi; Basidiomycota; Agaricomycetes; Agaricales; Marasmiaceae
Description: partial internal transcribed spacer region
Rfam family: Eukaryotic small subunit ribosomal RNA (bases 1-46)
Source: RNAcentral